GACGAACGCUGGCGGCGUGCUUAACACAUGCAAGUCGAACGGGAUCCACUGGGCUUUUGUUUGGUGGUGAGAGUGGCGAACGGGUGAGUAAUGCGUGACUAACCUGCCGUAUGGUUGGGGAUAGCUCCUGGAAACGGGUGGUAAUACCCAAUGCUCCAGCUGGAUGCAUGUCUGGUUGGGAAAGCUUUUGUGCCAUAUGAUGGGGUCGCGUCCUAUCAGCUUGUUGGUGGGGUGAUGGCCUACCAAGGCGUCGACGGGUAGCCGGCCUAAGAGGGCGACCGGCCACAUUGGGACUGAGAUACGGCCCAGACUCCUACGGGAGGCAGCAGUGGGGAAUAUUGCACAAUGGGCGCAAGCCUGAUGCAGCGACGCCGCGUGCGGGAUGGAGGCCUUCGGGUUGUAAACCGCUUUUAUAGGGGGGCAAGCUAUGCCUGUGUGGUGUGGUGAGUGGACUUUAUGAAUAAGCAC
This 468-nucleotide ribosomal RNA is filed under the name Scardovia sp. oral taxon 195. RNAcentral describes it as "bacterial SSU rRNA". It matches the Rfam family "Bacterial small subunit ribosomal RNA", at positions 28 to 493 of the family's 1533-position model. Lineage: Bacteria; Bacillati; Actinomycetota; Actinomycetes; Bifidobacteriales; Bifidobacteriaceae. The record is from RNAcentral.